UCCAGCAGCCGCGGUAAUACGUUCCCGGGCCUUGUACACACCGCCCGUCACACCACGAGAGUUUGUAACACCCGAAGUCGGUGGGGUAACCGUAAGGAGCCAGCCGCCUAAGGUGGGACAGAUGAUUGGGGUGAAGUCGUAACAAGGUAGCCGUAUCGGAAGGUGCGGCUGGAUCACCUCCUUUCUAAGGAAUAUAUGUGACUUUUUGUCACAAGAAUAAUAUAACUGGCGUUAAUGAUUUGGUGUUUAGUUUUGAGAGAGCAAUCUCUCCAAUGGCAAUGGAUAUUGCUAUUUUUGUUCCUUGAAAACUAGAUAAUCGUAUAGAAGAAAACCAAGUAAAACCGAGUUUGAAUAAUGACAUUUCAUUAUUCAUUAAUCGCCAUUUUAGUUUUUCUCUCUUAUUUAGUUAAGAGAAUUAACCUUUAGGUUAAGUUAGUAAGGGCGCACGGUGGAUACCUAGGCACACAGAGAAUCAGAG
This 478-nucleotide unclassified non-coding RNA is filed under the name uncultured bacterium. Its description in RNAcentral is "partial contains 16S ribosomal RNA, 16S-23S ribosomal RNA intergenic spacer, and 23S ribosomal RNA". The stretch from base 1 to 184 matches the Rfam family "Bacterial small subunit ribosomal RNA", at positions 1348 to 1533 of the family's 1533-position model. The record is from RNAcentral.